This 66-nucleotide transfer RNA is filed under the name bovine gut metagenome. It matches the Rfam family "tRNA". From Rfam's summary of the family: Transfer RNA (tRNA) molecules are approximately 80 nucleotides in length. The record is from RNAcentral.
GGUAUAGCCAAGUGGUAAGGCAACGGACUUUGACUCCGUCAUUUCGUGGGUCCGAAUCCCGCUACC